UGUGGAGGGGGGGUAAAACUUUAUUCCCCAAUGACAACUUGGUUGUCUACAUAGAAAACAAGGAAUUUUACAAAACAACUAGAAAUGUUGACAGCAAGGUUACAGGAUGUAACCAAAAUCCAUUAUAUUCUAUAGAGUAGUGUUAAGUUGGAAAUUUAAAUUUUCUUAAAUGUAUGAAAUAUUUAGGGAUAAUUUAACAAAAUAUGGGCAAAACCCGGGCACUGAAAACAGCAAAACAUUGCUGAGACAAGUUAAAAAUUGUUGACAGAGAUGUAGGUAGCUUGGAGGCCUGUGAACGCACCUGUCCAAGGGAGUGCGCUGCCUGCCAGACUUGGCCUCACUCCUGGAGCAGAGCGGUGGGGAGCAGUACAGCCUGGCUGGAGGUGCUGACUGUUCUGGCGGUGGCAUUAGGAUGGGCACAAUCCAGAAGGCGGCAGAGGCUUUGCAGUCUGGGUGGCUCUGGGGAGCAGCUCAGCAGGGAAAAUGAAGGCAGGCUCUGGCUUUGUUCCUAGGGCUGACCUCGCUCUCUGUGGAGGUUGGGUAGGUUGCAGCCUCUGUCCUGGCUGCUUGGAAGCCCAGGCAGCACGGGACCGCCCCUGGAGCUGGCAGGGCCGUGCACUCCCUGGCCAGUUCUAUGGUCCCCCGCCUCCUGCAUUGCAGCAUCCAGCUGGCUUCCACCCUCCUCAAAGCAGCCUGAGCAGGGGUAGGCAGGAGCAAGGGAGCUGCCUGAGCAGAGGGGAGGGGCAGUGCAGGGUGGGGCCUGGGUAUGGGUGAGUGGAGGUUGCAGGGAGCUCUCUCUACCUGAGACAGGACCUACCUGGAGCUCCGCUCGACCGCACACCGCAGCGGCCUGCCUGCUGGUGGUUCUGGUGUGCCCUCCAUCACAGGCUCUCCACGUUCCUCCCAGAGUUGAGGAGCCCAGCCCAGCCUGAGGCUGUGGAGAAGGGGAGCUGGCGUCAGCGAGCCAGACAUCAGGGUGCUGGUAACACCUGGUCUGACCAUCCCAACUGGGAACUGGGUGCUCCCGCAGGGCGGCCUCUGUCCUUCUCCUCUGAGUGCUGGCAGAGAACGCAGGUGCGGGUGGACAGUAGAUGUGGACCGUAGGACCCCCUCGCCACUGACUUCCCCCGUCUGGAGGGACCCUCAUUGUUGGGAGCAAGAGCAGGGUGAGAUGCAUCUGGGAGCAAGGUCUAGGUACCCACUUUCUUCCUGCCAAGCCCUGUGAGCUCUGUCCCCAGCCCUGCUCUGCACCUGCUGGGUGCAGGGCCAGGAGAAAGCAUGCAGGGGCAGAGGAAGAGGGGAGCCCAUUUGUCCCCCAAGGCUCUGCCAGGAGCUGCUCCAGCACCUGAAAACUGGUCCUCACUCCACUUCACUCCAGAGGCCCUGUCCAGCCUCUCUGCACACCUCCCUCCACAUUUCCUGCAUCGAGGCCUCCUGUCCAAGAGAGACCCUUCACCGUCUCCAGUACCAGUAGUGCUUGAGCCCACAGCAGCAUCUCUCUUACAGUCUAGGGUGUGGGGCGCGGGGGAAGGGAUGAGUGAUGGGAAGCCAUGUUCAGAGAGACUCCAAGAGCCCAGCACCAGUGAUGGCUGCAGCAGGCUGGCCAGACCCUGAGGGUAAACCCUGAGGGAUAGGUGGUAAGUAGUGGGAUCACUGGACAGACCCUACAGAGGAGGGAAUCACAGCAUAAUUAAAGCUGGUCAUUCCCAGGAUGCUGGAAUAGCAGAAUGGGAGUCCAGAAAGAUUUGGAUAUGGUGGGUCUGAUCAUUUGCAGACCGAUACCUGAUCCACACAGGGGAGAGGAUGCAGGGAAAUUGACUUCCCAGAGAGGUGGUCAAGGAGGGUGUGGUCGCAAAGGGCUUGGUGGGGGCAUCAGAGCAAGACAACUGGAAGUGUUGGGGCUCCUAGCACAAUACCUGAGUCAGGUUCAACACUUUCUGCAGAUGAAAGGAGAGGUGGCCAGGAGCUGGUUCACUGGGGACCCCCAACACAUCCCCCAGGAGAACCGUGCAGGCAAGAGGCCGAGGGUGAAGACAGUUGAAAACACUCAGAGCCCACCUCAGACCAGGGCGAGGCAGAGAGGGGGCCAAAAACAGAACCUGGGCCAUGGUGGGCAUCUGAGGAAUGUUUCUGAGAUGAAUUACGAUGAGUGAGUUACUAAAUCUCUUUAAGAAAUGAGGAAAAUGAAAGCCCUCAGCACACUGAGCUCUCCCCCACCUUCUGGUCUUGCUGAGGUCCCCCAUGGUUGGCUCAUGGUCACCACGUCCAUGGGCAGAGGCUGCCGUGGUCUUCCUUCCCAGCCUGAGCUGUGAGGCGCCCCACCUGUGUUUAAAGAGAGAGGCAUGCAGUGGGGGCUCUCAGCAAUUCCUAAGAGUCCCCAGGAAUUCUGGUCCCUGGCUUCUUGCUACACCAUGAGGCCAGACACUUGGUUGAGGACUGGAUGGAGUGAGAAUGUGCCGCUGCCUAUAGGUCUCUGUCCACCUGUCUGCUUAAGCCCCUACAGCCACUGGAUGUGGCACUGGGAGGGACAAGGCACAACCACAAAAGGAAACCCAAAUAAAAAUCUAGGAUCUCCCUAAACUCUGAACACCAAGCCUGUGAUGGAAAUGAGUGUUAAGGACAUACAGACAGGAAGCUUUCAGGAUCUUUAGAUGUAGGGGCUGGCCAGAGAAAAACUCUGGGCACAGGAGCAGUACAGCAGGAAAACUGCCAUGGAUGCCAAGGUGCAGAGGUGCACACCUGUGGAGGUCAAGGGGGCCCCCUCCUCUGCUUCCCCCUCUUCAGGGCCUUGCUCAGGCUCCCCUGUGUCAUCAUACUCCUCCUCCAGCACCAGGGCCCUGGACACUCUGGGCACCUCCUCCUCCACCCCCAUGGGGACAGCUCCAGUGUCCUCAUAAACACCUUCCAAGGGCAGAUUCCCCAACAUUCCAGAACCUGCAAAGGCCACACCAAAACCUUUUAAGCAGAGACAUUCCCCACAGUUUAAGCCCAUCUGUGGGGUGUCUCAUGCACACCAGGACCCUCUGGAACCCCACCAGGUGGGAGAGUUCCCCAGAUACACAUUCGACAGAGGGGUCAGGACACCCUUGGAGCCUUGUUCUCCCACCCAGGCAGCCCCAGGACUACAGCUCUUCUCACCCAGCCUCUCAGAAGCAGAGAAGGGCCCAGGUACCCUGUUACCAACAACCCAUGGGUCCACUUUUAGGAAGUCACCACAAGGGGAAAGGGUGGAAUUCUGAGUGGGACCCAGCACACAGGACAGCUGGGGACCUGCAUUGGUCUGGGUCUCAGAGCACCUCCCCUCCCCUCCAGAGCUUCCCCAUUCCCAGGGCCUGAUAUUAACCUUGACCAACAUGCCCACCUACCCCUGCAAGGUCUUGGGCCCUGGAGCCACUGUGCCCCCAGGACCAGUGAGAUGACAACCAGGAGGGUGCUGAAGACCAGGCAGAAAGUCAUAGGCAGAGUCCCGGCCUUGAGGGCAGGUAGAAGGGCCAGAGGAGGGCCUGUAAGAACAGUGAGAAGUGGGGUCCUCCCUACAUGCCUGCACUGCCUGCGUAUUGUGACCUUGGACCUGAACCACCUGAGCCUCUAAGGAGGAGGAGGGGCACCCAGGGGAGAGAUGGGCCUUGUGCUGCCCGGAGGGCACAGGGUUAAAGUCAGGAGUGUCCAGAAAGGCAACUCUUAGAGUCCUGACUGCUUUGGACUCACAGUCAGUAUCUAAGAGGCUACAGUGCACCAGAGCCCAACUGCCCAGUCAGCAAGGGAAAGGCCCAGAAAAUUGGCUGGCAGAGCCUGGGCUUGCUGUCCCUCCCUAGGUUCUCCACCCAGCUUUGCACAGGGGGACCCUCAGGGAAGGGCGUCUCUGGCACCAUGGCCCUGGUCCUCCUGACCUCCACCCAUCAGCCAAGAUGAGGGCUGACUGAGGCAUGGUGUCCACAGGAGACUCUUAGGCACCUCUGGGUGAGGCAGGCAGCAAGCUCUGAGCAGAGCCUGAAGGAACACACACCUACCUGAUGCCGAAAACAGGACUGUGGUCCCCCAGGAGAAAUAGAUUCAUUGCAAGGGGUGUGGAAAGGCAGCCUAGACCUUCAUCCAGACUCUCAGCUUGAGAUGGAAGUCAUGGAGGCAGCCUGUGCUCUAGCAUCCAGAGGGACAAGUGCAGGGCAGCCUCAGGGCUGGGUUCUGGGGCAUCCAGGAUGGAGGGGUACUGCAAAGGAUCCCUCCUGGCACCCCUUCCCCAGCCCCAAGCACCCUCCCACCUACUACCGCCCCCCACCCACGGAGGGGAUGGGGGAGCUGCAGGCUCCCUCCUGCGUGAUUGUGCCCGCAGUCUCCGUCUCCCUAUGGCUCCACGGGGCAUCCCUACAGGGACGCCUCACUUCUCCGGCACCCCACCUCCUCCAGCCACAUGGGCUCAGAGCCUGGCCUGAAGGCGGCCCCCACAGGGCACCCACAGCCUGGCCACAGCGUAGCUGGCAGCACACAACCUCUACAUCCACCAGGUCGCAGGAGUUGUCGCACACGGUGCCCCUGGAGUCGAUGUGCCAGGGCUCCACACAGCUGGAGAAGCCGUCUUCCCCACCACGCAUGCGCAGCUCGCCCUCCUCCACAAAGGAGACUAUGGUCACCGCGCAUCAGGACCAGGAUGGGGCAUGGACAGGGAGGAAGUGAGAGGGGUACCUGGGCAACUGUUGGUGGAUGAGCAGUUGAAGGUCUUGUGUUUUCUCUGACAAUCCUAUUGAUUAAACAGUGACCCACCCAGGGUAAAUGCCCUGAAAAACUUCAGAAUGAAGCUUGUGGAGCCCAAGUGACCGCACAGCUCCAAGCCAUAGGUUGGUGGCAGCCUUCGCAAAUGACUUGUCAGAAUAGAAUCUGCCUCCAGGCCCCCCAGACACCUCCAGGGCUCACCUGCACAGGUAUCCAGACUAUCCAUGGACACAGGUAUGCAGGUGCCAUGGGGCUGAGGGGCACUGCCACAGUGUGAAGUUUCGAAGCCUGUGGCACUGGAUAUUGUCCACCCAGGAGAUGCCCAAGAUAGUGUGGACAGGUCUGUUGUCCAGCCAGCCCAGCUGCUUGCGGAUGAUGGAUAAGGACGUGUCUUUCAGGGCACUACUGCACACAGCUCCCCAAGCCCCAUUGUAGAACAUGUCCAGCUACCCAGCACAGUGGCCAGUGCCACCUCAAAGCCUCAGAGCCACUGACCCUGGAAGACAAGCAUACUCAGGCCAAGGAAAUCUCUGAAGGAGGAAGCCAAGAGGAGCUUCCAGCACAAAGACGGAUGCCACCCAAGGGCAUCUAACCCAGUGAGUCCUGGCAUCCACCUCACAUGGAUCCCACAGUCCCAUCAAUUUAAAGAUGGAAAAAGAUGAGAGCAGUUGACCACAGGUGACCAGAUUUAACCCCUAGUUGUAACGUCUUAGUCAGCAGGGAUCAGCUGAUUGCCCAGAAAUCUAUCCUUGGAAAUUGCUCAAAAUACAGAAUAAUCAUUUUGUACAAGAUGAUUAACUUAAAAGUGAUAAUAAAAAUUCAAAAAAUUAAAUUAAGAAACAAACGAGAAUUACCCCAGAUCUCUCAGUUUGUAGAUAGCAUUGGUCCUGGCUGGUCAGUGCCCAAGUAUUUGUCUUGGGCGGUGCAAGUCCAACAACAAUUUAAUGUAUCACCACAUGGUGGAGUAUCAGACACCCUUUAAAAUUAUGUUACAGGAGCCUGUAAUACAACAAAAAUGCACAUGUGGAAAUAAAUCACAGAAUAUGGAUAUGAAUUGCAUCUUACAAGAUUAUAACUAAUAAAAAUAAGCUUAGAAAAAAACAAUGGAAGGAAAUACGUCUGUGGUAGCUUACAAAAGUGGCCACUAAGACCUCCUGCCUGUAUCCAUACCCCAUGCAAUGAAUCAAUUUCCCACCCCUGAAUGUGGGCUUGCCUUAGAACCUCAGCCAACCAAAUUAAUGGGCUAAGGGUGACCAGUGCCAAUUCCACACCUGGGCCUCAAGAGUGCAUUGCUUUGCUCUCACCUUUGAAACUCUGUCACCAGGGUGAAUCGUAACAGAAACAGAGCCCUCGCACUCCUGCCACUGCCCAGCAGCAGAGUCCUGCAGUUGCCUGACGAGCCACAGUACAGAGGAAGGAAGAACUUCAAGGAAACAAAAUAUAAGAGGAAAUGUAUACCGAGGACAGGAAGACCAGAAGUGACAGAAAAGACAAUCCAUGAUAAAGACAGCACCUAGAGAAACUUCCCUAGAAAGCCUGAGAAAGGAGCAGGGCCUGCCCCCCCCCCCCCGCUGCCUCCAAAAAAUUGAAUAAAAAGCGUGGGGAAGAGCCAACAUAAUGGAUGAGACUGUAACUAAAAAGAAACAUGAUGACUCACAUAGAGUUGAAGGCAACUUUCCUAAAGCAAAAAUAGGAAUCAAAAUCACUGAGAAGAGGCCCCACUGGGAUGUACCGCCUACCCUGGAGGGCUGCCUGGAGGGGGCUGGAGGAGGCAGGACCAACCAGAUGCCCCCAGGAGAUCACAAAACUCUGUCACUAAGAAUAAUCAUACCCAGACAAGAUCCACCAAAAGAGCCUCAGAUAUGUGUGAGC
This 6579-nucleotide long non-coding RNA is filed under the name Sus scrofa (pig). RNAcentral describes it as "lncRNA (ENSSSCG00000063050.1)". Lineage: Eukaryota; Metazoa; Chordata; Mammalia; Artiodactyla; Suidae. The record is from RNAcentral.